CCCCUGAGGAGGGACCUCCUCUCUCAGGGGCUGGGCACCAUUUGGCACCCGCGUCCAGAUCUCUGGAACCUCCACGUGUGGCUUCUGGAUGGGACGCGGCAGACCUAAGUGAUCUGCCACCGGCGGUGGUAGACACUAUCACUCAGGCUAGAGCCCCCUCUACGAGGCAGGCCUAUGCUCUGAAGUGGAGUCUGUUCACGAAUUGGUGUUCUUCUCACCGAGAAGACCCCCGGAGAUGCUCGGUCAGAGUCGUGCUUUCUUUCCUGCAAGGAAGGUUGGAGCGUAGGCUGUCACCCUCCACCUUGAAAGUGUAUGUGGCUGCCAUUGCAGCCCAUCACGAUGCAGUGGACGGCCGGUCCCUGGGGAGGCAUGACCUGAUCGUUAGGUUCCUGAGGGGUGCCAGAAGGUUAAAUCCUCCUAGGACACCCCUGAUUCCCUCCUGGGACCUCUCUAUUGUUCUGGCUGGACUUCAGGGGGGGUCCCUUUGAGCCGCUGGAUUCAGUCGAGCUUAAGUUCCUGUCUCUCAAGACAGCGCUCCUGGUCGCGCUCACUUCCAUCAAGAGGGUCGGGGACCUCCAAGCAUUUUCGGUAAGUGAAGAGUGCCUUGUGUUCGGGCCUGGAUACGUGCCCAAGGUUCCCACCACUCCCUUCCGAGACCAGGUGGUGAACCUGCAAGCGCUGCCCCUGGAGGAGGCAGAUCCAGCCUUGGCGUUGCUGUGUCCCGUAAGAGCGCUUCGCAUAUACGUGGACCGCACCCAGAGCUUCAGAAGCUCUGAGCAGCUCCUGGUCUGCUUUGGAGGUCAGCAGAAGGGGAAGGCUGUCUCCAAGCAGAGGUUGGCCCACUGGAUAGUGGAUGCCAUCGCCUUGGCGUACCAUUCCCAAGGCGAGCCGUGCCCCCUGGGGGUGAGGGCCCACUCCACACGGAGUGUGGCCUCCUCCUAUGCGCUGGCGCACGGCGCCUCUCUGGCAGACAUCUGUCGAGCUGCGGGCUGGGCGACACCUAACACCUUUGUGAGGUUUUACAACCUUCGUGUAGACCCAGUUUCUUCCCGUGUGUUGGGUAACAGGUAAUUGGCGGGAAGGACUGGCUCGGUGUCACGCUUGCUGCGCCAUUCCCCCUAACACGGGGAUGCGAGCGCCUUUCUUCUCCCAGUAGAGUUCCCCGGUUGGUGUACCCUGGUCGAGCAUCCUCCAGCACCCUCGGCGGUCAGACUUGGCGGAGCAGUCUGGCGCCAGGCCCAGUACUGGUGUUAGCAUGCCCGGAGUUCCGGUCAGCCCCUGUACUGGGCUAGGUGUCCAUAUGGCUUGAUUCCCUACGGGUAAUCCCAUAUGUGUAUUCUUCCACGGUAAGGUUUCCCUCUUGGUAAACCCGUGUCUUCCCUUGACAGACCCGCUCUGUCAGUCUCUUCUGGCAGCUGUUCCAUCCCUACUCCAAGGUAGGACCUGCCUCAGAGACCCAUUCCAUAUGUAGUACUGCCCCCUGGGUCAGUCCAUAUCAGUAUCUCCACAUGUCACCUCCCUACGGGUAGGAUGUGGUCUCCGUAGCGACCUUUUCCCUAAGGCUCGCUUCCCCAUCGUUCUGCCAAGCUGAAAGAACAAAUAGGGAAGAUUUGAAGCAAUCUUUCACUGAAGGUUGAAAUCCCUUCCAAAAACUUUUUGUGGACGGAACAGCAGCAUGGCCUUCUCCAGCAGCGAUGUACUCACCCUUUUGGUCCCCUUCGGUACCAAGGUCAGUGAAUUUGCGCUGGGGCUUUGGGAAGGUCACGACCUUAAGCGUAGCUUUUGUGACACGCUGCGGCUUGUCGACAAUUGCAGCGCCACAGGGUUGUGACGGUGUUCAGGUUGUGGCGUUUUCCAUAGGACCCCAUAUGUCGUUCGACAUAACUCGUAGUGACCGACAGAUAGGGAACGUCUCGGUUACGUACGUAACCCUCGUUCCCUGAUGGAGGGAACGGAGACGUUAUGUCCCCAUGCCACAACCUUGAACCAUUCGCUGUUGCCGGGACACGUUCUCGGCUCCUCAGCGUAAAACCUGAAUGAGUGGAUGCACCUGUCGCCUAUUUAUACCCGUAGGCACGGGGAGUGGCUCAGGUAUGUUAAAUCCACUAGCCAAUUUUCAUUGGCGUUUUCUCUUAAACUCAGAGAUGAUUGGCCUCCCAAGUGAGACCCCAUAUGUCGUUCGACAUAACGUCUCCGUUCCCUCCAUCAGGGAACGAGGGUUACGUACGUAACCGAGACGUUUUGGGAAACGCACCCCUGAUCAAAGAUGACAUAACUUUUUUUUUUUUUUUUUUUUUUUUUUAAUAUUGCAAAAAUUUAAAUGACAAAUAAAUAUAUUUCAAUUUAAUGCUGUUGUUUUUGCACUUUCUAUUUUUUUUUUUCAAAGAAUCCUGAAAAAGAAAAAAAACUUUCUUUGGCAACUAACAAAAAUAAGUUUAAGUUUUUUUUUUUUUUCAAAUUCAAGUUUUUCAUCUCAAAUUUUUACUUUAUUUCAUCAUU
Molecule: long non-coding RNA, 2499 nt
Organism: Cyprinus carpio carpio
Lineage: Eukaryota; Metazoa; Chordata; Actinopteri; Cypriniformes; Cyprinidae
Source: Ensembl